This 923-nucleotide long non-coding RNA is filed under the name Anser brachyrhynchus (Pink-footed goose). RNAcentral's name for it is "lncRNA (ENSABRG00000003564.1)". The record is from RNAcentral. Lineage: Eukaryota; Metazoa; Chordata; Aves; Anseriformes; Anatidae.
UGAAGUUUUAAAGUCUGAAAGCUUUGAUCAUAGCACUGAUUUGUGUCCGCUUCAACCAAACUUACUUAAUGUAUAGAAAAAUAGCUCAUGACAGCAUUUUUGAUAGUAACCAUACAUAAAGCUGGAUUUUACCUUGUUUGACCACCCGUCAGAGAGCUAGAAAUCCAGAGCCAAUUAGCAGUGCGAUUUAAUGCAUCGAAACACAACACAUACUGCAAAAACCAGCCAGGCUGCAGGUUACAGACAACAUCACACACUGCAUUAAAACAGCUGCAUUGUCAGGUCUGUGAAACUCCAUGAGGUUUGCCUUAAAUUGCCGUUCUGCUCUGAAAAGCAGGCUUUGAAGAGCUCACUGCGUGGCUCCAUGUUUAUUGCAUCGCUUCAGUCCUUAUCAGAUCAUAUAGCUACAAAGAAGAUGGUUUCUUCUAUUUGCCAGGUGGAAUCAGAGAGGAAGGAUGGAUUGCUUUUCCAUGUCAACUCAGAGAAGAUAAGUGAUGCACCAGUGAUUUCAUCCCGCUGUUUCCCACUGUGCUUGGACAGCCUUCCUUGUUUCGCCCAGUAACACUGCUGCUGAAGCUUUCACCACAGAGUUUGCCUUUUACAGAAGCCAACUUUGCCUUCCCUGCUUGGUGUCAUUUUAACUUGACACAAUCAGUCCUGGCAUGAAUGGCUGCGGUGCUCUGAGCUGUGUUUCAAGGGUGCUGAGGCUCUGGCCCUGGCCUGUGCUGGAAAGAGACGUCCCCAGGAGGCAGGAGCAGAAGGGACUGGGCUGGAGGAAAAGCACCCCAGGGAGAAGGAGGACUCUGCAAGCACCAGCACAGUGUCCCAGGGCUCUGUGCUUUGUGUGGUGCAAGCUACUUUUCUCGUUCUGCCCAAUCUCAAAAGCAGACUCACUGCAAGACAAGUUGGGUCUGGGGAACUGA